This 400-nucleotide ribosomal RNA is filed under the name uncultured bacterium. Its description in RNAcentral is "bacterial SSU rRNA". It matches the Rfam family "Bacterial small subunit ribosomal RNA", at positions 355 to 772 of the family's 1533-position model. The record is from RNAcentral.
UGAGGAAUAUUGGGCAAUGGGGGCAACCCUGACCCAGCCAUGCCGCGUGAGUGAAGAAGGUCUUCGGAUUGUAAAGCUCUUUCGGACGUGACGAUGAUGACGGUAGCGUCUAAAGAAGCACCGGCAAACUUCGUGCCAGCAGCCGCGGUAAUACGAAGGGUGCGAGCGUUGUUCGGAAUUACUGGGCGUAAAGGGAGUGUAGGCGGAUAUGUAAGAUAGCGGUGAAAUGCCGGGGCUCAACCCCGGAACUGCCAUUAUGACUAUGUAUCUAGAGUAAUGGAGAGGAUAGCGGAAUACCCAGUGUAGAGGUGAAAUUCGUAGAUAUUGGGUAGAACACCGGUGGCGAAGGCGGCUAUCUGGCCAUUUACUGACGCUGAGGCUCGAAAGCAUGGGGAUCAAA